Rattus norvegicus (Norway rat) is the source of this 45-nucleotide non-coding RNA. The record is from Rfam. Lineage: Eukaryota; Metazoa; Chordata; Mammalia; Rodentia; Muridae.
UUAAAGGCUUUGCUAAAAGCCACAUAGAAACUCAGUAUAUGUUCC